RNAcentral lists this long non-coding RNA (836 nucleotides) under Zalophus californianus (California sea lion). RNAcentral's name for it is "lncRNA (ENSZCAG00015013592.1)". Lineage: Eukaryota; Metazoa; Chordata; Mammalia; Carnivora; Otariidae. The record is from RNAcentral.
GGAGGGGCUGACCCCCGGAGGGGGGUGGAUCAGGCCACCAACAAGACCCCGAGCCAGGACGACUCAGGGAUGCCCUCCCCUGCUCAGCGGGGGCAAGAGGCGGGUCUUCUGGUCCUCAGGCAGUGGCGUGGACAAGGAUCCCGCCCUCAGGGCAGAGAGACCAAGUCCAGGGGUCGGGGGUCGGGUCCUAGGCACUCUGCUGUCUCUGUGUCCUUCCUCCCCGCGUCGAGGCAUGCCAGCGAGGAUCCCGCAGAUCUGGGCUAGCGGCUUCGCUUUGUACUGUCUGACCACCACCCCUCCGGAUCCAUGGCGCGAAUUUCCUAGCGCUCUCAUCUGCGAAGGCCCCGGGGAUCUGAAGUUCUACCCGCAGAAUCCCGGGUCUCUCCGUCCCCCCAAAAAAGGGGAACCCGAGGCUUCAGGCGGUGCCGGCUGUGGGGACUGUGGAUGGUGGCUGGGGAAGAGACCAGAGGAAGGGGACUGGCAUCAAGUAGUCCAUCAAUAUGAUUGACUACUUUGACAGACUUCCUUGAGCAUAAAACCAACCUUGCAUUCCUGGAAUAAAUCCAGCUCACCCUUAUUUUACUGCUCCAAUCUUUUUAAAAGAAGUGAGGACAAUCAUGCUGGGGAAGCGAUGGACCUUUCUCCCUGGGAAAUGCCCAGGCUGGCUAAUUUGAGACAGAAGAAGGUGCAUUGGCCCCCAGCUCAACCCUGGCUCUGCAACUCUCAGAGGUUGGGUCACGUGAGUUUGCUCCUUAGUGACUUACAGGUAGACCCUACACUAUCGGGAGUUGUCACACAAAGGAAACUUUAUUUGCAGCAAAUAAGGAGAUCGUGGG